UACGUAGGUCCCGAGCGUUGUCCGGAUUUAUUGGGCGUAAAGCGAGCGCAGGUGGUUUAUUAAGUCUGGUGUAAAAGGCAGUGGCUCAACCAUUGUAUGCAUUGGAAACUGGUAGACUUGAGUGCAGGAGAGGAGAGUGGAAUUUCAUGUGUAGCGGUGAAAUGCGUAGAUAUAUGGAGGAACACCGGUGGCGAAAGCGGCUCUCUGGCCUGAAACUGACACUGAGGCUCGAAAGCGUGGGGAGCAAACAGG
This 252-nucleotide ribosomal RNA is filed under the name uncultured bacterium. Its description in RNAcentral is "partial 16S ribosomal RNA". It matches the Rfam family "Bacterial small subunit ribosomal RNA", at positions 524 to 776 of the family's 1533-position model. The record is from RNAcentral.